RNAcentral lists this ribosomal RNA (391 nucleotides) under uncultured bacterium. RNAcentral describes it as "bacterial SSU rRNA". It matches the Rfam family "Bacterial small subunit ribosomal RNA", at positions 28 to 423 of the family's 1533-position model. The record is from RNAcentral.
GACGAACGCUGGCGGCGUGCUUAACACAUGCAAGUCGAGCGGUAAGGCCCUUCGGGGUACGCGAGCGGCGAACGGGUGAGUAACACGUGGGUGACCUGCCUUUAGCUCUGGGAUAAGCCUGGGAAACUGGGUCUAAUACCGGAUAUGACCUCAUGACGCAUGUUGUGGGGUGGAAAGCCUUGUGCGGCUAGAGAUGGGCCCGCGGCCUAUCAGCUUGUUGGUGGGGUNAUGGCCACCAAGGCGACGACGGGUAGCCGGCCUGAGAGGGCGACCGGCCACACUGGGACUGAGACACGGCCCAGACUCCUACGGGAGGCAGCAGUGGGGAAUCUUGCGCAAUGGGCGAAAGCCUGACGCAGCGACGCCGCGUGAGGGAUGACGGCCUCGGUGU